AAGAGAUUAGAUAGUGGUGAGUGCAUGCAGAGAAUUCAAGGUUUAUGCUGUGAAGAAAAAGAGUGGAAUUUCCCUUAGAUUGAGCAUGCAGAAAGGUCUCUCUGAAGGUCUGAGACUUGAAGGAUGAGAAGGAGCUAACUAGGAAAGGUAAUGCACUAUAGAUGCAAAUAUCCUUGUGGUUGCUGGGUGGAGACAGAAAUGGAAGCAGGCUGAGGUGAUGUGAAGAGAACAAUCAUCUGGGAGAGAGAGAGACUGGGAGAAGUCCGGAGCCCACAAAGACCCACCUGGGGCCUCUGCUGAUACAGAGGAGUCUGUGUCUAAAGGAUGGGGCAGGAGAGUCACUGAGAGGAGAUGACAAACAUCUUUCCACACCCAAGGAGCUGGCCUCUCAGAAUCUGCCCAACCAUUCAGGAAGAGCAUGAUGGGAGCUGGAGGAGGUGUGGACGCCACAGGAGCUGAACCCUUCGUUCACUGGGCCCUUCCUUCACUGUUCUGUCUCACCUUGAGCCUGGAGGAAUGGAGUCGGCUGUCUAUGGACUGAGACCUCUGAAACCGUGAGCCCCAAAUACACUUUUACUCCUUUAAGUUGUUCUUGUCAGGUGAAUUGGUCACAGUGACAAAACUGACUAAAACAAGUAUUAUUAUUGUCUUACUUUAUAGGGUUUCAUCCUGUUAUAAUUUAAGUUCAUUUUUCCUCCAUUUAAAAAAAUAAAUAGUCAGAUGUCACUAUAGGUCUGUAGUAACUACAGCUCUCAGGGAGGUUUGCAAGUUUGAAGCCAGCCUCAGCAACUUAGUGAGGUCCUGUCUCAAAAUAAAAUAAAAAGGGCUGGGGACAUAGCUCAGUGGAAGAGCACCUUUCUAGCACGCACAAGGCCCUGGGUUCAAUUGCCAGUACCAAAAAAUGAAAUAAAAUAUAAUAAACAAUAAUCAUUGAACAGCAUAUAGUUCCCUGAACUAUUCAGAAAAAGAAUAUAAAUGAAGAACAAAGAAAUAACUGGGAAAGGAACUAAGGUACAGAGACCUUGGAAACCUGCCUCCCAAGCCUAUGCUCUUGGCUACUCCACGUUCUCAAUCUUUCUCCUGUCUCCUUUUAUCUGUCCAUCAUCCAUCCAUCCAUCCAUACAUACAUACAUACAUUUUAGUCAGCUAUUUUGCCACUGUGACCAAAAGACCCAACCAGAACAAUUGUAGAGGAGGAAAAGUUUAUUUAAGGGCUCACAGUUUCAGAAGUCUCAAUCUAUAGACAGUGGAGUCCAUUCCUCUAGGUUCAAGGUGAGGCUGAACAUCAUGGCAGAACAAUGUGGAAGAGGGAAGCAGCUCACAUCAUGAUAAUCAGAAAGCGGAGAGAGCAUCCACUCGCCAGAUACAAAUAUAUACCCAAAGCCACACCCCAAUUCCCACCUCCUCCAGCCACACCCUACCCACUUCAGUUACCACUCAGUUAAUUCCUAUCAGGGGAUUAAAUCACUGAUUGGGUUAAGACUCUUACAGUCCAAUCAUUUCUCCUCUGAGCCUUCUUGCACUGUCUCACAUGUGAGCUUUUGUCUCAUAUCCAAACCAUAACACCAUCAGUCCAUCCAUCCAU
Marmota monax (woodchuck) is the source of this 1585-nucleotide long non-coding RNA. RefSeq lists it as uncharacterized. The transcript is spliced from 4 exons. Lineage: Eukaryota; Metazoa; Chordata; Mammalia; Rodentia; Sciuridae. The record is from RefSeq and is a predicted model, not a curated record.